UACAGAGGUCCCAAGCGUUGUUCAGAUUCAUUGGGCGUAAAGGGUGCGUAGGCGGCGCGGUAAGUCGGGUGUGAAAUCUCGGGGCUUAACCCCGAAACUGCAUUCGAUACUGCCGUGCUUGAGGACUGGAGAGGAGACUGGAAUUUACGGUGUAGCGGUGAAAUGCGUAGAUAUCGUAAGGAAGACCAGUGGCGAAGGCGGGUCUCUGGACAGUUCCUGACGCUGAGGCACGAAGGUCAGGGGAGCAAACGGG
This 253-nucleotide ribosomal RNA is filed under the name uncultured bacterium. RNAcentral describes it as "partial 16S ribosomal RNA". It matches the Rfam family "Bacterial small subunit ribosomal RNA", at positions 524 to 776 of the family's 1533-position model. The record is from RNAcentral.